RNAcentral lists this ribosomal RNA (253 nucleotides) under uncultured bacterium. RNAcentral describes it as "partial 16S ribosomal RNA". It matches the Rfam family "Bacterial small subunit ribosomal RNA", at positions 524 to 776 of the family's 1533-position model. The record is from RNAcentral.
UACGUAGGUGGCAAGCGUUGUCCGGAUUUACUGGGCGUAAAGGGCUCGUAGGCGGCCAACUAAGUCGGAUGUGAAAUCCCCAGGCUCAACUUGGGAACUGCAUCCGAUACUGGAUGGCUUGAAUUCGGGAGAGGGAUGCAGAAUUCCAGGUGUAGCAGUGAAAUGCGUAGAUAUGCGGAGGAACACCGAUGGCGAAGGCAAUCCCCUGGGCCUGCACUGACGCUCAUGCACGAAAGCGUGGGGAGCAAACAGG